CCUACGUGCGGCAGCAGUGGGGAAUAUUGCACAAUGGGGGAAACUCUGAUGCAGCGACGCCGCGUGAGUGAAGAAGUAUUUCGUUAUGUAAAGCUCUAUCAGUAGGGAAGUAAAUGACGGUACCUGAGUAAGAAGCCCCGGCUAACUACGUGCCAGCAGCCGCGGCAAUACGGAGGGGGCAAGCGUUAUCCGGAUUUACUGGGUGUAAAGGGAGCGUAGACGGAAGUGCAAGUCUGGAGUGAAAGGCGGGGGCUCAACACGCGGACUGCUCUGGAAACUGUACGGCUGGAGUGCAGGAGAGGUAAGUGGAAUGCCUAGUGGAGCGGUGAAAUGCGUAGAUAUUAGAAGGAACACCAGUGGCGAAGGCGGCUUACUGAACUGUAACUGACGUUGAGGCUCGAAAGCGUGGGGAGCAAACAGGAUUAGAUACCCCAGUAGUC
RNAcentral lists this ribosomal RNA (440 nucleotides) under uncultured bacterium. Its description in RNAcentral is "partial 16S ribosomal RNA". It matches the Rfam family "Bacterial small subunit ribosomal RNA", at positions 338 to 795 of the family's 1533-position model. The record is from RNAcentral.